Molecule: ribosomal RNA, 727 nt
Filed under: Tengella radiata
Lineage: Eukaryota; Metazoa; Arthropoda; Arachnida; Araneae; Zoropsidae
Description: partial 28S large subunit ribosomal RNA
Rfam family: Eukaryotic large subunit ribosomal RNA (bases 464-727)
Source: RNAcentral
AUUCAGUCCGGAGGCUCGGACACCGACGUUGGAAGAUAUUGNUUUCCUUUUGACAGGGGCCGUCCNAUUCGCGGGAAAGUUCCGUCCGCCCGACGCAUUUGACUCUNGUCCUGAGGACCCCNCANCCGGUGGGCAAGCNCAGCACACGGNCCUNAAGGGGCGCAAGGUAGCCAGGUGGCCCGGUGUUCGGGUUUUCCGGNCCUGCCGGGUUGUUUAGCCGAUGCGUCAGUGGCCACGUCGCUCGACCGAAGGUAUCACGAGGCCCCAGACGGGGGCUCUCACGUCUCCUCCUCCACAAAAGGAUGCCGGGACAGACCGUCGCAGGCGAAGCAGCCGGCCCGCCGCACUCCCCACGAGUGGCGGUCGAUAAAGUNGGCGCCGCUGGUGACGGCGGACCCGUCGGAGGCACGGAGGCUGGCGGCGAGUAGGUCGGUCACCCACCCGACCCGGUCUUGAAACACGGACCAAGGAGUCUAACAUGUGCGCGAGUCAAUGGGUCUCGAAUAAGCCCAGAGGCGCAAUGAAAGCAAAGGCAAGGCAGAAGCCUGCCGAGUUGGGAUCCCCGAUGAAAUAAGCGGGGCGCACCAACGACCCGUCCCGAGCGGCUCGCCGCUGGGGCGGAGUGUGAGCGCACACGUUGGGACCCGAAAGAUGGUGAACUAUGCCCGGACAGGACGAAGCCAGAGGAAACUCUGGUGGAGGUCCGCAGCGGUUCUGACGUGCAAAU